UACAGAGGUGGCAAGCGUUGUUCGGAAUUACUGGGCGUAAAGGGCGCGUAGGCGGCCUUCUAAGUCAGACGUGAAAUCCCCCGGCUUAACCUGGGAACUGCGUCUGAUACUGGGAGGCUAGAGUAUGGGAGAGGGAUGUAGAAUUCCAGGUGUAGCGGUGAAAUGCGCAGAUAUCAGGAGGAACACCGGUGGCGAAGGCGGGUCUCUGGGCCGAUACUGACGCUGAGGAGCGAAAGCGUGGGGAGCAAACAGG
RNAcentral lists this ribosomal RNA (253 nucleotides) under uncultured bacterium. Its description in RNAcentral is "partial 16S ribosomal RNA". It matches the Rfam family "Bacterial small subunit ribosomal RNA", at positions 524 to 776 of the family's 1533-position model. The record is from RNAcentral.